AGGGGUAUAGUUCAGUGGUAGAACAUCGGUCUCCAAAACCGAGUGUCGUGGGUUCAAAUCCUGCUGCCCCUGCCA
This 75-nucleotide transfer RNA is filed under the name Alphaproteobacteria bacterium. RNAcentral's name for it is "tRNA-Trp". It matches the Rfam family "tRNA". From Rfam's summary of the family: Transfer RNA (tRNA) molecules are approximately 80 nucleotides in length. Their secondary structure includes four short double-helical elements and three loops (D, anti-codon, and T loops). The record is from RNAcentral. Lineage: Bacteria; Pseudomonadati; Pseudomonadota; Alphaproteobacteria.